GUCGGUGUCGCGAGCGAAGUGGUCCCACCUCUUCCCUUUCCGAACAGAGAAGUGAAACGCUUUAGCGCCCACGAUACUGGUUUUUACCGGGACAAUAAGUCGAUGCCGGCG
RNAcentral lists this ribosomal RNA (111 nucleotides) under Candidatus Levyibacteriota bacterium. The record is from RNAcentral. Lineage: Bacteria; Candidatus Levyibacteriota.